AUACAUUUAAGAUAACCGUCGCUUAUCAGUCGACGUUAUCAAAUCAAAGUGCACUGUCUAAUUAAAGUGUCCUUAUCGCCGGAGAAGCUUGACAAUGCUCAACAGCGACGCACUCAUAACCUUCGCCUAUUACUGCUCGUUGUUUUGUUUAACCUUCGUCGGUUACAUACUGAUCUUCGAGGAGAAUCCCAACAAGGAUCGGUACAAAUCACCAGACUGGUAUUACUUGUUGAAGAGGCUCCUGGCCAUUCCCACCAUAAACCAACUGAAACGGAAACUGCGCAAGGCCCAAACGGAGCAGCCCAAAAGGCUCAAUUCCUCGGGAAAGAAGACCGACGCGCUGACCGUCUACGGGGUCGAUCAAGAUGGAAGCGCGUGCUUUGUCAAGGUGAUUCUUCGCGAGCAUCGCGUCGCCGAGGUCGCUCUGCUGCUCAGGUUGGGCGAUGGGAAAAGCUACACGUUCCCGGACGAGCGCCAGGUGCGGGUUUGUAGCACGACCGGCGGCGGUCAGUGGAGGGCGGGCGGGCUUACGUUGUCGAUUUUGGAACCGUUCCAAAGGAUUAGGCUGACGUACUUUGGGUUUUUGAGGGUGUUUGAGAAGGGACUGCCUGGUGACGUGGAGGCUGUGAAGUUGAGCCUAAUGUGGAACGGUGCCGAUGAAGUGCUCCAUUAUCCGCAGGACGCCGACAGCGGGUUGCUCUCGGAUGCACUUGCCAAGGAGCGUUGGCGCGAUGGGAGUUGGAUCGAGCUAAUGGGGGACGAGAGGGGUUACGAGCAGUAUGGGGCGUUUCAAGGCGCUUUCACUACCCCGACCGUGUCGAGCGAUCUCCGUUUCCAAGGCUUUAGAAAGCGCCUUUGGGGCACCGCCGAGCAUCUCAGUCUUCAUCGCGACUUCACCAUAUUCGUCUCGGGCCGGGACGGCACCGCGUUCACCAUCGGAGCCCGAUCGUACAAGGCGGGGUGCGCCAGGUUGAAGUUCGGGACGCUCUUCGCCCGAUCAACUGGAAGUCGCCCAAUUACUCAACACGAUAUCAACCUGGAGUACGUGGGCGAGUACAGCACCCCCUCCAGCAUUUCAUUCCACGUGAAAGCCGGCGGCAGGACGUACAAGUGCAUCGCGACGCUGAUGCACCGGGAUAUGGUCACGAUGGGUAGCGAGGGGUGGGAAACGAGGAUGGUUCCCUGCAGGAUCAUCUUGGAUGGAACCAGCGGAGUAGGACUGGUUUCGUUUUGGUACUCUCAACAAGGUGGAGAACGCGACGCACCCGACUUCUUGCUGACCGAACCCAAACUCGAUCGCGUCCCCAGCUUCGUCGCCGCCUUUGGAGAGCGCGAAUGCGAGGUUGGAGCAUUCGCCGGCGAAAAAGGGAAACUCCUAGCUUUGGCGUCCUCAAUUAUCUCCCCCAAUUUUGCCAUUCCGCGCGGUUUCGUCGUACUGACCACGGCGUUUACGCACCAUCUGAACCACAGCGAGAAGCUGAGUGAAGCCGUUGGAAACGUGAAGGACGUUUGCCUAGGGAACGCAGCUGGAGAUCUCUCGCUGGCUUGUCAAAGGGUCGUUGAGCUUUUCUUAACCGAGCCCAUCGCCGAGGACGUCGCUGGGGAAGUACUGGAGAAGCUGGGGGAUGACCAAGGCACGUGGACCGUGUGCAUCUCGGAUGCGUCCGAUGGGGCGUGCGGCAUGGAGGUUCGGCCCGAGGGCGUUCUCCAAGCGGUGGCGACGUGCUGGAGUUCGAUUUUUAACUACGCAAACGUGACCAACAGAAAACGGCAGGGGUUGGAGAUAUGCCCCAGCGCCGCUGUCGUGCUUUACCGCCUGGGGGACGUAGAAAAAUCCGGAACGGUGACCAGUUGCGAACCUUCGAAGGUCAUCAUCAGAACAUCACGGGACGAGAUCGUUUUAGAUCACACUUGGAAAGGGGAGUUAAGCCUGACCUCCCCAGCUUCUGAGAGCCUGCACGCUUUAAGUUUAGGACGUGCGGCCAUUGAGAUCGAAAAGGCCUUGGGGGAGUUUUGCCACCUUAACUGGGCGUACGUCAAUGGCGUCUUCUACAUAACUCAACUGAUAACAAUCGAUCAAAGUCAGGAAUGGACCGACGAAGAGCUUCUCCACGAAUUCGACAGCCCUACAAUUACAAUGGGGGCGCAAUCGACCUCGGCCAACAUUUCCGAGCUUCUCCCCGGCGCCCUGACUCCACUCACCAACAGUAUCGUGCUCAAAAUUUUCGCCGACUACAUCUACAGACCUUUUGGUCGAAACCUGAUCGGAUCGUCGCUGUUUCAGGCCAGAAUCGCCACGGAUUCGCUGAUUGAAGAGGAAAACCUCGGAAAAUUUGGCAGAAUCUGGCACGUUGCCAAAACGCUCAUCGGCACUACGGUCGACGUCAAACUCCCCGUGCGUCCACCUGUGGCGGACGGACUCUUGGCCAUCGAAAACGAAAUGGAGCGCAUACGCGAAAUGGGCAAAGUACACCUGCAGGUCUCGACCCAGGCCGUCGCCCAAACGAAAGCCCUGACGAUUCUCACCGACCCGGACCCUAACUCUAAGCUAUCCCUUCUGCUUCCGCUAUCCGUUCACCAGGAGAUCUCCGAGCUGAUGGCCGGCCUCGCCGAAAUAAUCAACGAGUCGGGUCUCUACGCGGAGUUCGCCAGGGUGGAGCCCCGCGACGGAAUGUCGUGGUUGAAGUGGAACUGCCCGUCGGUCAGCGAAACGCUAGAGGACCUCCCGGCCAGAGAGUACGAGCUUCAAAAUCGACGUGAGGAUGGCGCCGUUCUAAUCGAGAUGCUCCAAUUCUACUGCAAGCUUGCCAAGGCGCAACCGUCGUCGGCGAGGCGCACGAGGUCCUCGGCCAAUUCGCGCUUGGUUCGGUUCUUCACGAUGAAAUGCAAGGAGUCGAUCGUGACCAGGGAGCGAAUGAGAUUGGGCAUCCUGAAGGGAAUCGGGGAGAUUCGUGCCGGGCUUCGGGCGCUGUCGCGAGAAUUGGUGCGGCAGGGUAAAAUACCCGAGGAGGAUCUCAUUUUCUAUCUCUCUUGGUACGAGCUGAAACGGCUCGUGUUGAAGCAGGACGGAGCGGCUGUUCCAAGGGCGAUACGUCGAAAAGGUCUCUAUCCCCUAUGGGAUAGAAUCGUUUUGCCAACUACAACCCGUGGGACUCCCAAGGGAGUGGGGGACGCCAAGGGUAAGGUGAUGAGGACGGGCGAAUCGGUUUUCAAUGGAGAUGUCCACGGCAGAGCUUGCGUGGUUAGAGCAGUUCACGACAUUCGACAUCUAGAACAAGGUGACGUUUUGAUCACUUCGAGCGUCAAUUUGAGUUGGUCCCCUUAUUUUGCAAUGCUAUCCGGCCUGGUGACCGAAGCCAGUGGCGUACUCUCCUACGACUUCCGCCGCUUCCAAGGGGUAUAAAAGGCACACCGACGAUUACGUCGGUCGUAAACAGCUCGACGAUGAAGCUCUUCUCCCUGUGCCUCCUGCUCGUGGUCCUCGCCGCCUGCCUUACGGUCGAGAUCGAGGGUCUGAACUUCCCGAUGGGCGUGCAGAAGCCGCUUCACGCUAGCCCUCAAGGGAUGGCACGCGGGGCUGUCGGUCCCGAAGGGGUGGCUUGCUCGUCAACCACCGCAGCUCCAUCUGGAUGAUUGUAGAACGACCCCCUGCAGAACUUAAGAGAAAUGCACCAUGUAACUGCACUUUAAAAUAAAAGAUUUUGGAAGUA
Photinus pyralis (common eastern firefly) is the source of this 3710-nucleotide RNA transcript. RefSeq lists it as uncharacterized. The transcript has 15 exons. The record is from RefSeq and is a predicted model, not a curated record. Lineage: Eukaryota; Metazoa; Arthropoda; Insecta; Coleoptera; Lampyridae.